Molecule: ribosomal RNA, 30 nt
Filed under: Dolichomitra cymbifolia
Lineage: Eukaryota; Viridiplantae; Streptophyta; Bryopsida; Hypnales; Lembophyllaceae
Description: partial 26S ribosomal RNA
Source: RNAcentral
CAGACCUCUAAUCGGAAAAAGACNCUAAUC